AAAAAUCUAUGUUGGAAAUUUAACGAAUAGAUAAAUUUUUUAUGGUUUAAAAAAUUUAUUUUAAAUUUAUUUUACAUAUAAAUUUUAGUGUUAAUUAUUAAUUAUUUAAAUAAUAUUUAAUUUUUUUUUGUAGUAAUUAAUUUUAAAAAUUUAAGAAAUUAAGAUUUAGUAAUAUUAAAAUUUAAUAACUAAUUUUGUGCCAGCAGUUGCGGUUAUACAAAAGUUAAUAUAAAUUUUUUUUAGUUAUUAAUAAAUAAAUUAUAAUAAUAAUUUAAAUUUUAAGUUUUAAGGUGAAAUUUUAAUUUAAUAAAAAAUUAUUUGAUAUUUGUGAUUUAAUAAAUUUUAUAAAAAACUAGGAUUAGAUACCCUAUUAUUAAAAUUUAAAUUAAUAAUACUUAAAUAGUAUAUAAUUAUUUAUUGAAACUUAAAUAAUUUGGCGGUAUUUUAGUUCAUUUAGAGGAAUCUGUUUAAUAAUUGAUAAUCCACGAAUAAAUUUACUUAAUUUAUUAUUUUGUAUAUCGUUGUUAAAAAAAUAUUUUUUAAUAAUAUUAAUAUUUAAAAAUUUUUAAUAUAAAUUAAAUCAGAUCAAGAUGCAGAUUAUAAUUAAGAAUAUAAUGGAUUACAAUAAAUUUAUUUAGUUGAAUUUUAAUGUGAAAAAAUUAAAUGAAAUUGGAUUUAAAUGUAAUUUUAUUUAAAUUUUUAAAAUGAUUAAAUAUUAAAAUAUGUACAUAUUGCCCGUCGCUUUCAUUUAUAAGUUGAAAUAAGUCGUAACAAAGUAGAGGUACUGGAAAGUGUUUCUAGAAAGAU
This 807-nucleotide non-coding RNA is filed under the name Ambulyx tobii. Lineage: Eukaryota; Metazoa; Arthropoda; Insecta; Lepidoptera; Sphingidae. The record is from RNAcentral.